AAGAGAAGUUUGGAUUAAAUGUAUAUCAUUCCCGAGUGAUUUUGUUGGUGUGGGAAUGAAUUCCGGAGCUAAAUGAGUGUUUCGGCGCAAAUUGGGCGCGAAACGAAAUGUAAAAAGGAAAUUUUCAGAUUAUGAUGCUAGCUUUGAUCUAUGCGAUCAAAGUGAGAUAUGAAUGUUAAUUGUAGUAUCUCCGAAUUAUUUUGGAAGUGCGAGGAUAGUUAAUGGAAAAAUUCGGAGAUGCUUGGAUGUAAAAAAAUGUCGAACUUUAACUACGUGGCUAAUUGUGAUCAAAUU
RNAcentral lists this long non-coding RNA (294 nucleotides) under Ananas comosus (pineapple). RNAcentral's name for it is "long non-coding RNA (ACOM_LNC000982)". The record is from RNAcentral. Lineage: Eukaryota; Viridiplantae; Streptophyta; Magnoliopsida; Poales; Bromeliaceae.